RNAcentral lists this transfer RNA (74 nucleotides) under Candidatus Moraniibacteriota bacterium. RNAcentral describes it as "tRNA-His". It matches the Rfam family "tRNA". From Rfam's summary of the family: Transfer RNA (tRNA) molecules are approximately 80 nucleotides in length. Their secondary structure includes four short double-helical elements and three loops (D, anti-codon, and T loops). The record is from RNAcentral. Lineage: Bacteria; Candidatus Moraniibacteriota.
GCGGCCAUCGUUCAACGGCAGGACAUCGGGUUGUGGUCCCGAGAACGAGGGUUCGAUUCCCUCUGGUCGCCCCA